This is a non-coding RNA of Salmo salar (Atlantic salmon), 371 nucleotides long. NCBI's taxonomy places the organism in Eukaryota, Metazoa, Chordata, Actinopteri, Salmoniformes, Salmonidae. The record is from Rfam.
CCUGUCGCAGUCGCACUCAAAUCACCCAAGCACAUUUGGUGUAUGUGCUUGGCUGAGGAGCCAAUGGUGCGAGGCUACCAUCUGUGGAAUUAUGACUGAAGUCAAAAUCCCCCCUAAAUGUAACGAUGCCAUGGAUCUUCGGUUGUCACGGGAUAGCCUGCCUCUUUUGGCAGGUGAGUAGAGCCGUUCGUGAUGGGGUUGGGGUGCGGCCGCAUGAGUUGUCGCCCCUCUCCUGAUGCGCACCGCAUGUUUGUGGGGAACCUGCUGCUAAAUCACUCGUAGCAGACCUAAUUCUGGGUCAGGGUUUCGUAUAUAGCAGAGCAGCUCACUCGCUGUGAUCUAUUGAAAGUCAGCCCUCGAUCCAAGCUUUU